RNAcentral lists this ribosomal RNA (2927 nucleotides) under Citrobacter freundii. Its description in RNAcentral is "bacterial LSU rRNA". It matches the Rfam family "Bacterial large subunit ribosomal RNA". Lineage: Bacteria; Pseudomonadati; Pseudomonadota; Gammaproteobacteria; Enterobacterales; Enterobacteriaceae. The record is from RNAcentral.
GGGUUGUGAGGUUAAGCGACUAAGCGUACACGGUGGAUGCCCUGGCAGUCAGAGGCGAUGAAGGACGUGCUAAUCUGCGAUAAGCGUCGGUAAGGUGAUAUGAACCGUUAUAACCGGCGAUUUCCGAAUGGGGAAACCCAGUGUGAUCCGUCACACUAUCAUUACGUGAAUACAUAGCGUAAUGAAGCGAACCGGGGGAACUGAAACAUCUAAGUACCCCGAGGAAAAGAAAUCAACCGAGAUUCCCCCAGUAGCGGCGAGCGAACGGGGAACAGCCCAGAGUCUGAAUCAGCUUGUGUGUUAGUGGAACGGUCUGGAAAGUCCGACGGUACAGGGUGAUAGUCCCGUACACCAAAAUGCACAGGUUGUGAACUCGAAGAGUAGGGCGGGACACGUGGUAUCCUGUCUGAAUAUGGGGGGACCAUCCUCCAAGGCUAAAUACUCCUGACUGACCGAUAGUGAACCAGUACCGUGAGGGAAAGGCGAAAAGAACCCCGGCGAGGGGAGUGAAAAAGAACCUGAAACCGUGUACGUACAAGCAGUGGGAGCCUCUUUAUGGGGUGACUGCGUACCUUUUGUAUAAUGGGUCAGCGACUUAUAUUCUGUAGCAAGGUUAACCGUAUAGGGGAGCCGAAGGGAAACCGAGUCUUAACUGGGCGUUAAGUUGCAGGGUAUAGACCCGAAACCCGGUGAUCUAGCCAUGGGCAGGUUGAAGGUUGGGUAACACUAACUGGAGGACCGAACCGACUAAUGUUGAAAAAUUAGCGGAUGACUUGUGGCUGGGGGUGAAAGGCCAAUCAAACCGGGAGAUAGCUGGUUCUCCCCGAAAGCUAUUUAGGUAGCGCCUCGUGAAUUCAUCUUCGGGGGUAGAGCACUGUUUCGGCUAGGGGGUCAUCCCGACUUACCAACCCGAUGCAAACUGCGAAUACCGAAGAAUGUUAUCACGGGAGACACACGGCGGGUGCUAACGUCCGUCGUGAAGAGGGAAACAACCCAGACCGCCAGCUAAGGUCCCAAAGUCAUGGUUAAGUGGGAAACGAUGUGGGAAGGCACAGACAGCCAGGAUGUUGGCUUAGAAGCAGCCAUCAUUUAAAGAAAGCGUAAUAGCUCACUGGUCGAGUCGGCCUGCGCGGAAGAUGUAACGGGGCUAAACCAUGCACCGAAGCUGCGGCAGCGACACUAUGUGUUGUUGGGUAGGGGAGCGUUCUGUAAGCCGUUGAAGGUGGCCUGUGAGGGUUGCUGGAGGUAUCAGAAGUGCGAAUGCUGACAUAAGUAACGAUAAUGCGGGUGAAAAACCCGCACGCCGGAAGACCAAGGGUUCCUGUCCAACGUUAAUCGGGGCAGGGUGAGUCGACCCCUAAGGCGAGGCCGAAAGGCGUAGUCGAUGGGAAACAGGUUAAUAUUCCUGUACUUGGUGUUACUGCGAAGGGGGACGGAGAAGGCUAUGUUAGCCGGGCGACGGUUGUCCCGGUUUAAGCAUGUAGGCGGAGGUUCCAGGUAAAUCCGGUACCUUUUUAACGCUGAGGUGUGAUGACGAGGCACUACGGUGCUGAAGUAACAAAUGCCCUGCUUCCAGGAAAAGCCUCUAAGCAUCAGGUAACACGAAAUCGUACCCCAAACCGACACAGGUGGUCAGGUAGAGAAUACCAAGGCGCUUGAGAGAACUCGGGUGAAGGAACUAGGCAAAAUGGUGCCGUAACUUCGGGAGAAGGCACGCUGAUAUGUAGGUGAAGUGAUUUACUCAUGGAGCUGAAAUCAGUCGAAGAUACCAGCUGGCUGCAACUGUUUAUUAAAAACACAGCACUGUGCAAACACGAAAGUGGACGUAUACGGUGUGACGCCUGCCCGGUGCCGGAAGGUUAAUUGAUGGGGUUAUCCGUAAGGAGAAGCUCUUGAUCGAAGCCCCGGUAAACGGCGGCCGUAACUAUAACGGUCCUAAGGUAGCGAAAUUCCUUGUCGGGUAAGUUCCGACCUGCACGAAUGGCGUAAUGAUGGCCAGGCUGUCUCCACCCGAGACUCAGUGAAAUUGAACUCGCUGUGAAGAUGCAGUGUACCCGCGGCAAGACGGAAAGACCCCGUGAACCUUUACUAUAGCUUGACACUGAACACUGGUCCUUGAUGUGUAGGAUAGGUGGGAGGCUUUGAAGUGUGGACGCCAGUCUGCAUGGAGCCAUCCUUGAAAUACCACCCUUUAAUGGCUGGUGUUCUAACGUGGACCCGUUACCCGGGUUGCGGACAGUGUCUGGUGGGUAGUUUGACUGGGGCGGUCUCCUCCUAAAGAGUAACGGAGGAGCACGAAGGUUAGCUAAUCCUGGUCGGACAUCAGGAGGUUAGUGCAAAGGCAUAAGCUAGCUUGACUGCGAGAGUGACGGCUCGAGCAGGUGCGAAAGCAGGUCUUAGUGAUCCGGUGGUUCUGAAUGGAAGGGCCAUCGCUCAACGGAUAAAAGGUACUCCGGGGAUAACAGGCUGAUACCGCCCAAGAGUUCAUAUCGACGGCGGUGUUUGGCACCUCGAUGUCGGCUCAUCACAUCCUGGGGCUGAAGUAGGUCCCAAGGGUAUGGCUGUUCGCCAUUUAAAGUGGUACGCGAGCUGGGUUUAGAACGUCGUGAGACAGUUCGGUCCCUAUCUGCCGUGGGCGCUGGAGAAUUGAGGGGGGCUGCUCCUAGUACGAGAGGACCGGAGUGGACGCAUCACUGGUGUUCGGGUUGUCAUGCCAAUGGCAUUGCCCGGUAGCUAAAUGCGGAAGAGAUAAGUGCUGAAAGCAUCUAAGCACGAAACUUGCCCCGAGAUGAGUUCUCCCUGAGACUUUAAGUCUCCUGAAGGAACGUUAAAGACGAUGACGUUGAUAGGUCGGGUGUGUAAGUGUAGCGAUACAUUGAGCUAACCGAUACUAAUGAACCGUGAGGCUUAACCUUACAACGCCGAAG